Molecule: ribosomal RNA, 315 nt
Filed under: uncultured bacterium
Lineage: Bacteria
Description: bacterial SSU rRNA
Rfam family: Bacterial small subunit ribosomal RNA
Source: RNAcentral
GCUGAACGGUAACAGUGCAGCUCGUCGCUGACGAGUGGCGGACGGUGUGAUGUAAUGUCUGGAAACUGCCUGAUGGAGUGGGGAUAACUACUGGAAACGGUAGCUAAUACCGCAUAACGUCGCAAGACAAAGAGGGGGACCUUCGGGCCUCUUGCCAUCGGAUGUGCCCAGAGUGGGAUUAUGCUACGUAGUGUGGUGGUAACUGGCUCACCCUAGGGCGACGAUCCCUAGCAUUGGUUCUUGANAGUGAUGACCAAGCCACACUGGGAACUGAUGACCACCGUGGUCCAGACUCCCUACGAGGAAGUGCAGGCG